UACGGAGGUGGCAAGCGUUGUCCGGAAUCAUUGGGCGUAAAGCGCGUGUAGGCGGUCCGGUAAGUCCGCUGUGAAAGUCGGGGGCUCAACCCUCGAAUGCCGGUGGAUACUGUCGGGCUAGAGUGCGGAAGAGGCGAGUGGAAUUCCUGGUGUAGCGGUGAAAUGCGCAGAUAUCAGGAGGAACACCGAUUGCGAAGGCGCUGCGCUGGGACGUUACUGACGCUGAGACGGCGAAAGCGUGGGGAGCAAACAGG
Molecule: ribosomal RNA, 254 nt
Filed under: uncultured bacterium
Lineage: Bacteria
Description: partial 16S ribosomal RNA
Rfam family: Bacterial small subunit ribosomal RNA
Source: RNAcentral